This 495-nucleotide ribosomal RNA is filed under the name uncultured bacterium. RNAcentral describes it as "bacterial SSU rRNA". It matches the Rfam family "Bacterial small subunit ribosomal RNA", at positions 15 to 507 of the family's 1533-position model. The record is from RNAcentral.
GAUCCUGGCUCAGAUUGAACGCUGGCGGCAUGCCUUACACAUGCAAGUCGAACGGCAGCGGGCCUUCGGGUGCCGGCGAGUGGCGAACGGGUGAGUAAUGCAUCGGAACGUGCCAUUGAGUGGGGGAUAACGUAGCGAAAGUUACGCUAAUACCGCAUAUUCUGUGAGCAGGAAAGCAGGGGACCGCAAGGCCUUGCGCUCUUUGAGCGGCCGAUGUCAGAUUAGCUAGUUGGUGAGGUAAAGGCUUACCAAGGCGACGAUCUGUAGCGGGUCUGAGAGGAUGAUCCGCCACACUGGAACUGAGACACGGUCCAGACUCCUACGGGAGGCAGCAGUGGGGAAUUUUGGACAAUGGGCGCAAGCCUGAUCCAGCCAUGCCGCGUGAGUGAAGAAGGCCUUCGGGUUGUAAAGCUCUUUCGGCCGGGAAGAAAUCGCAUGGGUUAAUACCCUGUGUGGAUGACGGUACCGGAAUAAGAAGCACCGGCUAACUACGUG